CUGCUCUGUGAAUAUUGUAAAUUGCAUUAGACAUAUGUUCAAAACUAGGUUUUUAAAUAACAGUCAGUAAUAAUAGCUUAUAUAAAUUAUUAUUUAACAGUGUUGUUCUAAUGUGUUUAUUAUAUUCUGGAAUAACUGAAGAUCAGUCAUUCCGCAGUUGUAUCCAUCAAACUGCUUCGCAGGAAUAAUGGGAAGGACUGUCACAUUGUAGAGAUUGGACAGUGUUCACACAGGUUUUAAGCAGGAAUUCAUCAAGGACAUGAAAGGAUGGAUUUUACCAAAACUGAAUUCAAGAUUCCUAUCCUGUACUAAAAUAAAAAAACUCAAUAAUUCGAAGACAGGAUCUACAAGAAAAAGCACAAAACAACUGCUGGCGCAAUCCCCCAACCCUCCCAUGCUUAGUUCCUGACUCCUCACACCCACUCCUUCUCCUCAGGUCUCAGUCAGUCAUGCAAAUUUCAUCUAUCGUUUCAAGCUACUUUAUGUGUGGUCAGUAUAAAUACUUCAGGUGUGACUGGUAAGGUGGUUUAACUCCACAACAGAACAGAACAGACAAUAAUAAACAAAACAAAACCUGUUCUUCUGAUGUGGGAGAAGUCCCAAUAAAUAUCUUUGAUAACCAUUUCUUUUCAUCCCCAAAACUAGGUGUGUAACCUUUUGGGUCACAAGACCCUAAAAGCUCCUAACAACGAAAAGGUCUUUUAUGUUUUGUUAUGUAACUGAUGUGUCCUGACCUAGAAGUCUGUAUUUGAAUGAGGCAUUAGUUACUUGUGUUGUGUAGGAUUCGGUUGUGAUAUCAGACAAUUGUCUUUGUCUUAAGAAAGUCAAACAGUCCCACUGCUGAAUAUUCAAUCUGUCUUCAUCAUGAAAUAAUGAAUCCAUUCUGGAGAAUGUGA
Long non-coding RNA from Carassius carassius (crucian carp), 896 nucleotides. RefSeq lists it as uncharacterized. NCBI's taxonomy places the organism in Eukaryota, Metazoa, Chordata, Actinopteri, Cypriniformes, Cyprinidae. The transcript is spliced from 2 exons. The record is from RefSeq and is a predicted model, not a curated record.